UGAACCGCCGUGCGCCGCCAUUUAACCUCCCUACCUAACGUGUACCCAGUGUGAAAGUCUACGGAAUACUCUCGGUUUCUGUUUGUGCUUUUGUGUUUCACUUGGUGUCUCGGGACUCAAGUACACAAGAGAGGACUUGCUAACCAUCAGAGAGCCUUCUGACUUUUUUUCGACAGCUCUCGCCAACUCGCUGAAGCUUUUUCCAAAGUUUCUAGUCGGCGCACUCUUAAAAACCUCACGACGAAGCGGCUCGCGGUCUGCGAUACAAGUCCGACAAGUCGAAAGCGGGGACAUCGUCUAACGCUUCCGACGAAAGACUUUGGACAUUCUGCAGCUCUGUGCUUCACGGAGACUUGGCCUUGUGGACGAUGGUCCGACGCUGCUAUCCCGCUCGACCGGCCGGUCUCAACCUCCGUCGUGCUGAUGUGUCGCUGAGCUAAGCUAACAAGCCUUUUCGAUACUCUUUUCGGAAGGCCAACAUUACAGUUAAGUCACUUGAAAGAUAUAAGAAUUUCGUGAAAUACUAGAUUUGUUUAUUCUUUUGUCUUUCGGCAAUUGUCAUCAAAUUUUAAACAAAUAAACAUUUCGCUUUGCUUGUGGUGAACUAAUACACAGGUUUUACUUUUUGAAAAUAAAAUGGAAUAAAUGGAGUUUGCUUCGAUUAUUAAAAAAAAUAAUAUUCCACCGCCUUCCGUUUUCCAUGUUAGCAUACAGAUAAGUGCUCUUCCUUUGUGAUUUCUGUCACAUAGAGUAAAAGAUGAAGGGCACAAUACUGCGCCUUUGUUAUGCAGUUCUGAGUCCCAUGAUGUGUGUAUGCCAGGUAGCCCAAUAGUCAGUCUGGGCUAGGGAUCGCAAAAAAACCGCUUACUUUCAUAACCGGUUUUAACCGAACAGCUGUUGCAAAAAAAAACGAUUAACCGGUUUUAAAACCGGUACCAUUGUGGUGUUUACAUAAUUCACCCGCGGGACCUCGAGUAGGGGUGCGGGGUUCCGCACGGACUGUUUUUGUUGUUGCUCCUCCGGAGUGACAAGUUCACAGAGUUCCCCCCGUUAUGCGAGUAGUGUUUUGAUGUGUGCCAAUAAAACAAGUUUUGUUCCUGUGUCCGACACUCCGCCUCCGACUCCUUUUCUCCGGCGCUACACCAUCGAGCGUUAAUUUACUCUGCGGUAAUGGGGUAGUUUGUAUACAAUAUUGACAAACAAGCUUGUUGAAUGUGGCUUUCAACAAUGCACUCGUUGUUAUUGAACAAUGAGCUGCUGAAUUAAAUUUCACACGAUCGCCGACAGAGCUAGGCGGCCCGUGACAGUAGACGGCCAUCUUUGGAAGGGGGCUGGGGGUUGUUCCAGCUGCAACUACAAUUUUCCUGGUGGGAGUUCUUGAGCUGUGACAUUGAAGACAAACAAAGUCAGAUAAAUAUCCGCUGUCAAAGGUUCUCCCUCAUCAUACUACCAGUUUAUCUUCCCUCCUGAAGUGUUCAAGACCCCCCUCCUCAAAUCCUAGAUUAUAGAACUGUGGUUUGGUGUUUUGAUGGGGAACAGUUUGUGGCUGCAAGUAGAGCUCCGUCGUGGCUAUUAGGGCAGCUAAAACGGGCUCCGGCUCUUUUGGCAGUCGUCCCGCGAAGAAGCCUGAGCCGGGAGGGGUGCUUGCGUUUGAUGCGGAAGUGAUAAAGACGGAGCCCCUCGCUGCCAACUUCCUCUGAGUCACGAGGCGUGGACCCGAGGAAGCGCUUGCUAAAUGGCCCGAAGGAGAAGAAAAAAAAAAGAGAGAGAGAGAGAGAGAGAGAAAACACAAUGGCAGCAAGACAGGAGAUAUAUGAUGCUUUGCGCUGCGAUUGUUGGCUUGGAUGACUGAGAAGAGAAACUUUAAUGAGCGCCGGCCUAUUCUGGUCACAGCUGGGGGAAAACAUCAUAUAGUGGCACUCGCAUGUUCUUUCCCACUCUGCUCAUCCACGCAAACUAUGUUCCACUGCUGCUGAUGAGCAGGGCAGUAGGGCAGCGUCCCUGCAGUAUUUUCGUAUUGUAGCUUUCAGAAGAUGGAAAAUACUUCAAUGUGGCCUCAGCCGCGUGCCCUUGACACUUCAACGCGUUGAAAUCGAUACGAUUAGCAACAGAAAGCGAAGAGUGAUGAGUCAUGAUUGUCAAAGGUAUUUAUUGACACUGGCGAUAUCCGUAGGGACUCCUGCGCAGUCACAAGAUCCAAAUACCGAGAAUACAUCCACUGUCCUGCAUUUACAACACAGAAUGCCAACAAGUGAGGUCUUCAUUUAUUCUAUAAGAUGUGGUGUCAAAUAAAAGAAGCCAUAUACAGUAAAGUAUUAGAAACAGCUAUAAAUAUGAUGAAGCGUUAUUUGCAACUACUGCAAACUCCGUUGAUUAUAAGAGAUAAAAAUGACAUUUUGGGAUAUAUUUGGCGCAUCUGCAGUGUAGCCGAAACCCACAAAAAUCCUCUAUUCUAUGCAAGAGCAAAGAAAAUGCUCCAGUCACCCACGGACUGGCUCCCCCUUCCGACAAUUGUACCACGUUUAAAGGGAAUGAAAGGAGACGAUUUCAUUUGUGGCUAAUGAAGUCGGGUGCGUUCACGGCCACAGCAGCGCAGAAAUUUGUAUUUUUUUUUUAAACACGCCAGCUUCACACAUCUGCAAAAUUCUGAAAAAUGGGUCGAACGCGCCUCCGCAGUUUUGUCACAUCAGCCUUCUCGGAUUUGGGCCGGUCACAAAAAUAAAGACCUGUGUGUGUAUGUAAAUGAAGAAACAGAAGAUUGGCCGUGGCCAGGAAACUGCUCUGGGCGGUGCCACCUCUGACACCUGUCACAGCUGUUUUGCAUUCGGCACUGUAAUUAGACCAGGCGUUUAAAGGUCAAGUGUCAUGAAAUGG
Long non-coding RNA from Syngnathoides biaculeatus (alligator pipefish), 2874 nucleotides. RefSeq lists it as uncharacterized. The transcript is spliced from 4 exons. Lineage: Eukaryota; Metazoa; Chordata; Actinopteri; Syngnathiformes; Syngnathidae. The record is from RefSeq and is a predicted model, not a curated record.